CCUACGGGAGGCAGCAGUGAGGAAUAUUGGUCAAUGGCCGGAAGGCUGAACCAGCCAAGCCGCGUGAAGGACGAAGGUGCUAAGCAUUGUAAACUUCUUUUGUCAAGGGACAAAAUCAGGCUCGAGAGCCUGACCGAGAGUACUUGAAGAAUAAGCAUCGGCUAACUCCGUGCCAGCAGCCGCGGUAAUACGGAGGAUCCGAGCGUUAUCCGGAUUUAUUGGGUUUAAAGGGAGCGUAGAUGGGUUGAUAAGUCAGAUGUGAAAGUUUGCGGCUCAACCGUAAAAUUGCAAUUGAUACUGGCAGUCUUGAGUACAGUUGAGGUAGGCGGAAUGCGUGGUGUAGCGGUGAAAUGCUUAGAGAUCACGAAGAACCCCGAUUGCGAAGGCAGCUUACUAAACUGUGACUGACAUUGAUGCUCGAAAGUGUGGGUAGCAAACAGGAUUAGAUACCCGGGUAGUC
RNAcentral lists this ribosomal RNA (460 nucleotides) under uncultured bacterium. RNAcentral describes it as "partial 16S ribosomal RNA". It matches the Rfam family "Bacterial small subunit ribosomal RNA", at positions 338 to 795 of the family's 1533-position model. The record is from RNAcentral.